This 76-nucleotide transfer RNA is filed under the name candidate division MSBL1 archaeon SCGC-AAA382C18. Its description in RNAcentral is "tRNA-Gly". It matches the Rfam family "tRNA". Rfam says of the family: Transfer RNA (tRNA) molecules are approximately 80 nucleotides in length. The record is from RNAcentral. Lineage: Archaea; Methanobacteriati; Methanobacteriota.
GCGACCGUAGUCCAGUGGCUUAAGACACCGGCUUGCCAUGCCGGUAACCCGGGUUCGAAUCCCGGCGGUCGCACCA